RNAcentral lists this ribosomal RNA (900 nucleotides) under Agaricus sp. Its description in RNAcentral is "LSU rRNA". It matches the Rfam family "Eukaryotic large subunit ribosomal RNA", at positions 52 to 942 of the family's 3401-position model. The record is from RNAcentral. Lineage: Eukaryota; Fungi; Basidiomycota; Agaricomycetes; Agaricales; Agaricaceae.
GAUCGGAGAGACUAACAGGAUUCCCCUAGUAACUGCGAGUGAAGCGGGAAAAGCUCAAAUUUAAAAUCUGGCAGUCUCUGGCUGUCCGAGUUGUAAUCUAGAGAAGUAAUGCCCGUGCUGGACCGUGUAUAAGUCUCCUGGGAUGGGGCGUCAUAGAGGGUGAGAAUCCCGUCUUUGACACGGACUACCAGUGCAUUGUGGUAUGCUCUCAAAGAGUCGAGUUGUUUGGGAAUGCAGCUCAAAAUGGGUGGUAAAUUCCAUCUAAAGCUAAAUAUUGGCGAGAGACCGAUAGCGAACAAGUACCGUGAGGGAAAGAUGAAAAGAACUUUGGAAAGAGAGUUAAACAGUACGUGAAAUUGCUGAAAGGGAAACGCUUGAAGUCAGUCGCGUUGGCCGGGAAUCAGCCUUGCUUUUGCAUGGUGUACUUUCUGGUUGACGGGUCAGCAUCAAUUUYGAUCGCUGGAAAAAGGCCUGGGGAAUGUGGCAGCUUCGGCUGUGUUAUAGCCCCUAGUCGCAUACAGUGGUUGGGAUUGAGGAACUCAGCACGCCGCAAGGCCGGGUUUCGACCACGUUCGUGCUUAGGAUGCUGGCAUAAUGGCUUUAAGCGACCCGUCUUGAAACACGGACCAAGGAGUCUAACAUGCCUGCGAGUAUUUGGGUGGAAAACUCAAGUGCGUAAUGAAAGUGAAAGUUGAGAUCCCUGUCGUGGGGAGCAUCGACGCCCGGACCAGAACUUUUGGGACGGAUCCGCGGUGGAGCAUGUAUGUUGGGACCCGAAAGAUGGUGAACUAUGCCUGAAUAGGGUGAAGCCAGAGGAAACUCUGGUGGAGGCUCGUAGCGAUUCUGACGUGCAAAUCGAUCGUCAAAUUUGGGUAUAGGGGCGAAAGACUAAUCGAACCU